CCCACCAUCAUCUCUUUGGUUGCCAAGCAGUCAUCCAUCCCGAGUGCUACCGUAGCAAUCUCUCUUUACGUCCAUUGAAAUACUUAUUACACACUGCAGGAGGACUGAAUGCAGCCCUUGGGUAUAAAAGGACAGCUCCAGGGGCGGUUUUCAUUGUUGUAUUGUUCCCUUACACCAUGACUCUGGGAUUUUGCAACUAAACCAUGUUCAUAAACGUGUGUUGAACUGCAGGCCAUUUCUCCGCGGGGGAGAGAAAAUCUUUAAGGGGUCUCCGGAAUUAAACGUGACAGCCAAGUCACCUUCAAGUACGUCGCAUGCAGCACCAACACUAACCCCUGGGCGCCGCACUUGCGGCUCGGCCGCCGGAGAGUGUGAGUGGCUCCCGCCAGGGAUUCACAGCUCACCAGCCAGGCCGUUCACGGGGGCGGGGCCACACGCCCCUCAGCCCGGUCGGGACCGCCCUUGAGCGGGUCCGGUGGGCGCCACCCUCGAAAGGUGGAAUCUGAGAAGGCCGAAGGCUGAGGAGCCGACGGAGGGGUACCUGAUAAGACCCGCCGGUUAGGGCCAGCUCCGCUAGGACCGCUCGGCCAUUUGCAAUGCAGCUGUAGGUGAUCGUCAUAGUGGGCGAGCUAAUGAAGGAAGAGCUCCCGCCACAUCUAACCGCCCGCAACAGUCCCGGGGCGGUGACUGGGGCGGGGCUUCGUGAGAGGACGAUGUCUGCGCAGGCGCGAGGGCCGGUUGAUUGGCAGGCAGGGAGGCGGGGCCAUCUCGUGCCUGGGCUGAAACAGAUGAAACCGGGCGAGGUCUCUGAAAAAACUGGGUUUGGUUGCUCAAUAAAUGCCAGCCACAUGUUGAAUGAAGCUGUGUAAAGACUUCUACUUUUAAAAAGAUGAUGCGUCUUCGUCUCCAUCCCCUUGAACUCAUACACUCCCAUGUGAUUGAUUUUCUCUGGAAAACAAAAUGUGAGCAGAAGAGAAAAGGUGAGUCAUUUCUAGGCAAAGCUUUAAGAGCCAACAUGUAGCUCUUCAUUCUUUUUCUUCUUCUGCCAAAGCUCAGUAGGGCUCUGUGUGAAGGCUGGGCUCUAUCAGCUUGGACUUCCCGUGAAGCCUGGCAUGGAGCUGGGACUGCUCGAUGCUGGAGAUGUCAUGUGAAUGAGAAAGAAACCUUUGUUUUGAAGUCUCUACAGUCUGUUUUGAAGUCUCACUUAGUCUGUCUUCACUGACGCAUGUAAAAUCGAUGCUGUUUGGGAUGGAGCCAUCCAUUAAUGUAACAUCUGUGGGCACCGACACAGCUAAUGACCAACAGUCCAGUGUCCUCCAGGGGUCUGUGGUCCAGCUUAUACAGAUAAAUAGUUAAGAAGUCAGGUCUGGCCUGCCGCACUGCCAUGCCCUCUCCUCCACCCCAGUGUUGGUUUCCAUGUUUCUACCCAAGGCUAGAUGUCUCCUGACUUUAUGUAUCCAAACACAUGCUUCAAUAUUACUGCACACUUUUGGUACUUUAUUGGAUUUAACAAAUUACAUAAUUCCUGCUUAUUAUUAUAAAUUAAGCAACAUGAACAUAUAUAAAGAAAAAAAUUAUUCUUUCUUCCUCUCUCUCCUUCCAAUGGUGUGUAUCCUUGUACAGAUGUUCUAGGCAAAUACAUAUAUGUUUGUUUUCAACAUCCAUCUAUUUGUUUAUUUAUUUGGCUGUGUCGGGUCUUAGUUGUGGCACGCAGGAUCUUCAGUUAUGGCAGGUGAACUCUAGUUGCAGCAUGUGGGACCCAGUUCCCUGACUAGGGAUUGAACCUGGGCCCCCUGCAUUGGGAGCAUGGAGUCCUAGCCACUGGACCAUCAGGAAGUCCCUAGGAAAAUAUAUGUAGAUAAAUAGGGUCAUUUUUAAGGAUUAUCCUCCCGUGAGCAUUACUCUGCCAAGGCGUGAAUUUUAAGUCACUUCAGCCCUGUCUGACUCUGUGACCCCAUGGACUGUAGCCCGCCAGGCUGCUCUGUCCAUGGGGAUUCUCCAGGCAAGAAUACUGGAGUGGGUUGUCGUGCCCUCCUCUAGGGGAUCUUCCCAACCCAGGGACUGAACCCAGGUCUCCUGCAUUGCAAGUGGAUUCUUUACUGUCUGAGCCACCAGGGAAGCCCCAGUGUCCAAAUCACUCUUGUUAAUACUUCAUUAAAUCCCUUUUGUGAACCCUGUGAGGCAGGUACUGUUAUCAUCAACCUAUGCCAUUUGAGAAAAUAGAAGCCUUGAAACAUUGAGUCAUUUGUGAAUGUCACUCACAUAGAUUAGGACAUGGUGGAGUGAGAAACCCAGGCAGCCUGACUUCACGCUCCAUGCUUUGAACCUCCAAGUUAUAUCACUUCUGUGGUUGCAUAAUAGUCUGUGAAUGAAUGGACUGUAAUUUAUUCAAGCAUUUCCCUGUUGAUGGAGGUCUAGGUGGUUUCCUGUUUUCCUCUUUUGAUUUUGUUCCCACAAACAGUGUUGAAAUAAACAACAACAUGCGGAUGCUCUUUUUUCCUGU
Bos indicus x Bos taurus (hybrid cattle) is the source of this 2503-nucleotide long non-coding RNA. The record is from Ensembl. Lineage: Eukaryota; Metazoa; Chordata; Mammalia; Artiodactyla; Bovidae.